AGUAGCGCACGGGUGCGUAACACGUAUGCAACCUACCUGAAACCGGGACAUAACCUCGAGAAAUUGAAGCUAAUAUCCCAUGUGAUUGUGGCAUCUAAAAUUGUGGUUAAAGAUGGGCAUGCGUCCCAUUAGCUAGUUGGAGAGGUAACGGCUCACCAAGGCGACGAUGGGUAGGGGUUCUGAGAGGAUGAUCCCCCACACUGGUACUGAGACACGGACCAGACUCCUACGGGAGGCAGCAGUAAGGAAUAUUGGUCAAUGGACGCAAGUCUGAACCAGCCAUGCCGCGUGCAGGAAGACGGCCUAUGGGUUGUAAACUGCUUUUGUACGGGAAGAAUGACGGUACCGUAAGAAUAAGGAUCGGCUAACUCCGUGCCAGCAGCCGCGGUAAUACGGAGGAUCCGAGCGUUAUCCGGAUUUAUUGGGUUUAAAGGGUGCGCAGGCGGGUAUAUAAGUCAGAGGUGAAAUUCCACGGCUCAACUGUGGGACUGCCUUUGAUAC
This 501-nucleotide ribosomal RNA is filed under the name uncultured soil bacterium. RNAcentral describes it as "bacterial SSU rRNA". It matches the Rfam family "Bacterial small subunit ribosomal RNA", at positions 94 to 633 of the family's 1533-position model. The record is from RNAcentral.